UACAGAGGGUGCAAGCGUUAAUCGGAAUUACUGGGCGUAAAGAGCUCGUAGGCGGUUUGUCGCGUCUGCUGUGAAAACCUAAGGCUCAACCUUGGGCUUGCAGUGGGUACGGGCAGACUAGAGUGCGGUAGGGGUGACUGGAAUUCCUGGUGUAGCGGUGGAAUGCGCAGAUAUCAGGAGGAACACCGAUGGCGAAGGCAGGUCACUGGGCCGCAACUGACGCUGAGGAGCGAAAGCAUGGGGAGCGAACAGG
RNAcentral lists this ribosomal RNA (253 nucleotides) under uncultured bacterium. Its description in RNAcentral is "partial 16S ribosomal RNA". It matches the Rfam family "Bacterial small subunit ribosomal RNA", at positions 524 to 776 of the family's 1533-position model. The record is from RNAcentral.